GAGAGCGUAGCUCAGUUGGUAGAGCAACUGACUUUUAAUCAGUAGGUCCAGGGUUCGAACCCCUGCGCUCUCA
Molecule: transfer RNA, 73 nt
Filed under: Hoeflea phototrophica DFL-43
Lineage: Bacteria; Pseudomonadati; Pseudomonadota; Alphaproteobacteria; Hyphomicrobiales; Rhizobiaceae
Rfam family: tRNA
About the family: Transfer RNA (tRNA) molecules are approximately 80 nucleotides in length. Their secondary structure includes four short double-helical elements and three loops (D, anti-codon, and T loops). Further hydrogen bonds mediate the characteristic L-shaped molecular structure. tRNAs have two regions of fundamental functional importance: the anti-codon, which is responsible for specific mRNA codon recognition, and the 3' end, to which the tRNAs corresponding amino acid is attached (by aminoacyl-tRNA synthetases). tRNAs cope with the degeneracy of the genetic code in two manners: having more than one tRNA (with a specific anti-codon) for a particular amino acid; and 'wobble' base-pairing, i.e. permitting non-standard base-pairing at the 3rd anti-codon position.
Source: Rfam by way of RNAcentral